Molecule: non-coding RNA, 382 nt
Organism: Chlorocebus sabaeus (green monkey)
Lineage: Eukaryota; Metazoa; Chordata; Mammalia; Primates; Cercopithecidae
Source: RefSeq, a predicted model, not a curated record
CCUCAAUCAGCUUGCCCUUCUAGUCUCCUCUAGGCUGGAAGCCUGAAAACUACAUUUCCCAGAAUCCUUUCCAGCUUAUUCUGUUAGGAUCUUCCAACAGGAGGCACUGGCAGGAGACUGGAAAGUGAAAGAAAGGGAAAAGCCAUUUAUUCCCGGUUUCUGUAUCCUGGAAAUAAUUGGAACAUUCACAAAGAAUGAAUAACCUUGACAGAGGUCCUUCAGGAGAUAUUAUGGAAGAAGGCAUAUUUUUUGUUUUUGUUUUUUUGAGGAGUCUCACUCAGUCACCCAGGCCAGUGCUGAUCUCACCUCUAUUUCCUGAAUUCAAGUGAUUCUCCCACCUCAGUCUCCAGAGUAGCUGGGAUUACAGAUGUGCACCACUGUG